UAGGUUGAAGUUCGCUGAUUUGAACAGUUAGUUGUUAACUAAAAUUUCGCGGGAUCAAGGCCCGUUAACCUAGG
RNAcentral lists this transfer RNA (74 nucleotides) under Lygodactylus sp. RNAcentral's name for it is "tRNA-Asn". Lineage: Eukaryota; Metazoa; Chordata; Lepidosauria; Squamata; Gekkonidae. The record is from RNAcentral.